RNAcentral lists this unclassified non-coding RNA (232 nucleotides) under soil metagenome. RNAcentral describes it as "partial internal transcribed spacer 1". The record is from RNAcentral.
UUGAAUUUUAAUGAAGAGUUUGGUUGUAGCUGGCCCAUUCAUUUGGGCAUGUGCACACCUUCCUCUUUCAUCCCACACACACCUGUGAACCUGUGAGACAGAGAUGGGGAAUUUACUUGCUGCUAUUUGGAAUACAAAGGCAAUAGGUUAUUGGACCCCCCCUCUGUCUACUCAAUUAAUAUAAACUCAAUUUAUUUUAAAACGAAUGUAAUGGAUGUAACACAUCUCAUAC